This 149-nucleotide small RNA is filed under the name Agrobacterium albertimagni AOL15. RNAcentral describes it as "Alphaproteobacterial sRNA ar7". It matches the Rfam family "Alphaproteobacterial sRNA ar7". Lineage: Bacteria; Pseudomonadati; Pseudomonadota; Alphaproteobacteria; Hyphomicrobiales; Rhizobiaceae. The record is from Rfam by way of RNAcentral.
CAUCGGCGACUGAUCACGCCGUAGUCUGAAAGAGGCUCGUCCCCCGCCGCUUCAGACUCGGGCAAAGGCCUUAUCCCCCUCUCCGGGCCUUUGUCCCCAUAUUCCGGAGCCGUCGUGGCAGUCCCCGCCUCAAGCCACGACGGCCUCCA